RNAcentral lists this ribosomal RNA (407 nucleotides) under uncultured bacterium. RNAcentral's name for it is "partial 16S ribosomal RNA". It matches the Rfam family "Bacterial small subunit ribosomal RNA", at positions 28 to 526 of the family's 1533-position model. The record is from RNAcentral.
GACGAACGCUGGCGGCGUGCCUAAUACAUGCAAGUAGGACGCAGUUGCGAACGGGUGAGUAACGCGUAGGAACCUUCCUAUUAGAGGGGGAUAACUAUUGGAAACGCUAGCUAAUACCGUACGCUAGUAGAUGUACCUGCGUUGUAUUAGCUAGUAGGUAGGGUAAUGGCCUACCUAGGCAACGAUACAUAGCAGACCUGAGAGGGUGAUCAAGCACACUGGAACUGAGAAACGGGCCAUACUCCUACGGGAGGCAGCAGUGGGGAAUAUGGGACAAUGGGCGAAAGCCUGAUCCAGCCAUGCCGCGUGUGUGAAGAAGGUCUUCGGAUUGUAAAGCACUUUAAGUUGGGAGGCGUUACCAACAGAAUAAGCACCGGCUAACUUCGUGCCAGCAGCCGCGGUAAUUC